GACGAACGCUGGCGGCGUGCUUAACACAUGCAAGUCGAACGGAAAGGCCCUGCUUUUGUGGGGUGCUCGAGUGGCGAACGGGUGAGUAACACGUAAUUAACCUGCCUUUAACUUUGGGAUAACUUCAGGAACCUGGGCCUAAAACCGGAUAGGAGCUCCUGCUGCAUGUGGGGGGUUGGAAAUUUUCGGCGGUUGGGGAUGGACUCGCGGCUUAUCAGCUUUUUGGUGGGGUAGUGGCUUACCAAGGCUUUGACGGGUAGCCGGCCUGAGAGGGUGACCGGCCACAUUGGGACUGAGAUACGGCCCAGACUCCUACGGGAGGCAGCAGUGGGGAAUAUUGCACAAUGGGCGGAAGCCUGAUGCAGCAACGCCGCGUGCGGGAUGACGGCCUUCGGGUUGUAAACCGCUUUCGCCUGUGACGAAGCGUGAGUGACGGUAAUGGGUAAAGAAGCACCGGCUAACUACGUG
Molecule: ribosomal RNA, 468 nt
Filed under: uncultured bacterium
Lineage: Bacteria
Description: partial 16S ribosomal RNA
Rfam family: Bacterial small subunit ribosomal RNA
Source: RNAcentral